CAAUGGGCGCAAGCCUGAUCCAGCCAUGCCGCGUGCAGGAUGAAGGCCCUCGGGUUGUAAACUGCUUUUGUACGGACCGAAAAGCCUCUUUCUAAUAAAGAGGGGUGAUGACGGUACCGUAAGAAUAAGCACCGGCUAACUACGUGCCAGCCGCCGCGGUAAUACGUAGGGUGCGAGCGUUAAUCGGAAUUACUGGGCGUAAAGCGUGCGCAGGCGGUCUUGCAAGACAGUGGUGAAAUCCCCGGGCUCAACCUGGGAACUGCCUUUGUAACUGCAAAGCUGGAUUUCGGCAGAGGGGGGUGGAAUUCCGCGUGUAGCAGUGAAAUGCGUAGGUAUCCGGAGUAACACCGAUGGCGAAGGCAAUCCCCUGGGCCUGCACUGACGCUCAUGCACGAAAGCGUGGGGAGCAAACA
RNAcentral lists this ribosomal RNA (413 nucleotides) under uncultured bacterium. RNAcentral describes it as "bacterial SSU rRNA". It matches the Rfam family "Bacterial small subunit ribosomal RNA", at positions 369 to 774 of the family's 1533-position model. The record is from RNAcentral.